Molecule: transfer RNA, 79 nt
Filed under: Tepidimonas charontis
Lineage: Bacteria; Pseudomonadati; Pseudomonadota; Betaproteobacteria; Burkholderiales
Description: Tepidimonas sp. SPSP-6 tRNA-Ala
Source: RNAcentral
AGUACCGGGGCGCGGGCAAGCGCGCCGCACCGCUGGCGUUGGUGGGCAAGGGCAUCACGUUCGACACGGGCGGCAUUUC